RNAcentral lists this ribosomal RNA (109 nucleotides) under Bacilli bacterium PM5-3. The record is from RNAcentral. Lineage: Bacteria; Bacillati; Bacillota; Bacilli. RNAcentral also lists the same sequence under 1 other name.
UCUGGUGGCGAUAGCAAGAUGGACACACCUGUACCCAUAUCGAACACAGAAGUUAAGCAUCUUAGCGCUGAAGGUAGUACGCAAGUGUGAGAAUAGGACGUUGCCAGGC